This 253-nucleotide ribosomal RNA is filed under the name uncultured bacterium. RNAcentral's name for it is "partial 16S ribosomal RNA". It matches the Rfam family "Bacterial small subunit ribosomal RNA", at positions 524 to 776 of the family's 1533-position model. The record is from RNAcentral.
UACGUAGGGACCAAGCGUUGUUCGGAUUUACUGGGCGUAAAGGGCGCGUAGGCGGCGCGGUAAGUCACUUGUGAAAUCUCUGAGCUUAACUCAGAACGGCCAAGUGAUACUGCAGUGCUAGAGUGUGGAAGGGGCAAUCGGAAUUCUUGGUGUAGCGGUGAAAUGCGUAGAUAUGUGGAGGAACACCGAUGGCGAAGGCAGCCCCCUGGGUUAACACUGACGCUCAUGCACGAAAGCGUGGGGAGCAAACAGG